Molecule: long non-coding RNA, 756 nt
Organism: Piliocolobus tephrosceles (Ugandan red Colobus)
Lineage: Eukaryota; Metazoa; Chordata; Mammalia; Primates; Cercopithecidae
Exons: 2
Source: RefSeq, a predicted model, not a curated record
CCACAGGUUAUGUGCAGUACUAAAGAGCGACUUCACCUAUGAGUUACACCUCAAGGCAACCUCCUGGCAGGCCAACCUUAAGCCACCUGUCCAACCAUGCAUCUAAGCUGAGUUCUCAUCACAGCCAACUUCAAUUAUAAACAACUGAGAUGAUGCCAGAGGCCAAAAUCCCUGAGAACCCAAUUUGUCGUCAUCACCGUGGCUAAAACAAGGUGCUUGGCAUCUAGAAAAGCUGAUCUGUAGGAAAUUUUUAAUAGAGUUCAAUUUUUUCUAAGUUUAAAGUGCACGAUAUGAAGAUCAGACACCUGAGAUAAAACUAGACUUGUAUUUAAAUAGAAUAAAAAUAUUUGAAGAAUAGUAAUAGUGGUGACUACUUUUACACAGGAAUGCUUUAAAUAAAUUGGUUUUUUCUCCUUUAAAUUUUGUGAUUUGUCAAUGUGAUGCUGACAUAUUUUUAAUGAAGUAUGCCUCAUAAAAUAAUAAGUGAAUGAAAAAUACACAGUAAUAUUUACAUCAACAAAGCUAGAAGAAGACUGCAUGUCCCAAGAGGCUCCAUCAUCUACCCAGUGGCCACUUAACCAAAUUAAGAUCCAAAUACCAAAAAGAAAAGCAAAUAAAAUUUGUGUUGUGUGCUUUACAAGACCAAACCCAUGAAAUGAGGGAAACUUCACAAUUACUUGUAAUUUGCUCUGUGGAAUUGUGACAGAUGGAUUGUAAAGAUGAUUCCAUGAUAAACAUCUAAAUGUGGUUACUACC